This 378-nucleotide ribosomal RNA is filed under the name uncultured bacterium. Its description in RNAcentral is "partial 16S ribosomal RNA". It matches the Rfam family "Bacterial small subunit ribosomal RNA", at positions 338 to 732 of the family's 1533-position model. The record is from RNAcentral.
CCUACGGGAGGCAGCAGUGGGGAAUAUUGCACAAUGGGGGAAACCCUGAUGCAGCGAAGCCGCGUGAGUGAAGAAGGAUUUAGGGAUGUAAAGCUGUAUCAGCAGGGAAGAAGAAAGACGGUACCUGACCAAGAAGCCCCGGCUAAAUACGUGCAAGCAGCCGCGGUAAUACGCAGGGGGCAAGCGUGAACCGGAGUUACUGGGGGUAAAGGGGGCGUAGAGGGCUGUGCAAGUCUGACGUGAAAGCCCAGGGCUCAACCCUGGGACUGCUUUGGAAACUGUGGUGCUAGAGUGCUGGAGAGGUAAGUGGAAUUCCUAGUGUAGCGGUGAAAUGCGUAGAUAGUACGAGGAACACCAGUGGCGAAGGUGGCUUACUGG